Long non-coding RNA from Carica papaya (papaya), 3387 nucleotides. RefSeq lists it as uncharacterized. The record is from RefSeq and is a predicted model, not a curated record. NCBI's taxonomy places the organism in Eukaryota, Viridiplantae, Streptophyta, Magnoliopsida, Brassicales, Caricaceae.
AUUUUAUUUUUCCAUUACAGGCCCCACCGAUGGGGAUUUAGCUGAAACGGAUUAGAUAUGAUAUGUAAUAAUAAAGUAAAAGAUAAUGACAUAAGCUUUUAAUUGAAUCUAAGAUCUACCAUCCGAUUAGACUUGCCCGUCUCUGAUUCGGUAAGCCUACCAUUUAGUAGAUCAUCGAGACGGGGAGGAUUCUUACCGUCCGCUCUUUUAAGACACAAACCAAAACGCGGAUUUGCGCAGAGAGCCGAAAAAACAAAGACAGUAUAAAUGCGAAAUAUACAAAAGAGCGGAUCCGCCAAAUGGAAGCGACCAAAUUAGCAGCGCUGAUUCGGUUGCCAUAGUUUCAGAGUCUGUAGAUUCUCUCUUUUAGUCGUUGAUCAACUCUGUGGCUCCUUUCUUUUCAGAAUUUAUUACAGAGGAUUUUGUUACAGUGUAUAUAAGUCUACCAUAUCAAAAAUAACAACAGUAGAUAUUAUUCUUCGGUUCAUAUUCUAGUCUUUUCGGGUAUCUCUUUGCUGUGCAACAGCGGGAUGAUUUUGUUUUGGUAUCUACUCUUACAAUCUUAAAAUUGAUGUUAAUUUUCUAAUUUUUUAUUUUGUUUCGUGAUGAAAUUAGGAAAGGAGCAAAAAUGGCGAUGAGAGAAGCGAAACUCGCUUACCUUGUGUUGCUGUUUAUGAGAUUAGCGAUGGUUUGAUAAAACCCCAUCCAGAAGAUCUAUCCGAGUGUCCAUCAAGAAUCCCAAGUAUCUCUAAUAACUGCCACUACCAGUAAAAGAAGCGGUCAACAAAACAUCCUCAGUGAAUCCCACGAUUCCACUAUCUGUUCUUCCACCAACCCCAAGCACGGUUGUUAUGGCUACAAGGAACGCAUCGAGAGCUUGGAAGUGGGGCUCGGCGGCCUGCAAGACAGCUUCAACCGCAUGGAGUUGGGACUAACCAAGCGAAUGCGGAUGCUAGAGGAAAAUAUUAACAGACUCUCGGACUCGAUCACCAUUGGCCGAGAAGUGUCCAGCAGCAAUCACCACAGCUGACCCGGACUGCUUUGCCUAGAUUACGACGAAAGUAUAGAACGUGAAGAAGGUAGGCUCCCGACCUUCCCGCGAUUGACUCGGCUCGAGUUUCCCUCAUUUAGCAGAGGCGACCCCACCAAAUGGCUCAAUAGAGUGGGAUAGUUUUUCGAUUUCCAGGCGAUGGCCAAGCACCACCGCGUCGCUCUGGCUUCCUUCCAUCUUGAAGGGGAAGCCAAUUGCUGGUGGCAAUGGCUCAGCAAAACGUACAAGGAAGGACCGGAUCGUGGAUUGGACCAGUUUUGAAGAGGAGUUGUGGGCCUGUUUUGGGCCAACCGAAUUUGAAGACUGUGAUGAAGCCUUGACCUACAUCAAACAGACUGGGUCGUUAAGGGAUUAUCAGCAGGAGUUCGAGAGGUUAGGCAAUCGGGUCCGAGAAUAUACCCAAAAGGCCUUGGUGGGGGCUUUUAUUGGCAGGCUCAAGCUCGAGCUCGCUGAUGGAAUCAAGAUCUUCUGGCCUAGGAGCCUUAAGGACGCUAUCGGCCUGGCCCGUAUGCAUGAAAAAUAAGUGGAUCAUCAGAGAAAGAUGAACCGACCUGAACGGUUCGUGACCGGUUCGUCUGCAAACCACAUAGUCUCCAAAACACCAAUCGGGCGCACUCAGCAAACCCUAGUUGCCCCGAACACAACAAAAUGCAACUCCUGGGAUAAGAUGCAGCAGUGGCGAGCACAAGGAUUGUGCUUCAACUACGAUUUCUCGGCAGGCCAUUGAUGCCGCAAAUUGCAGCUCCUACUCCUCGAAGGAGGUAGUGUCGGGGAAGAAAAAGUCAACAAAGAGGACCCAGAAAUCUCUCCACGUCCUAACUGGGUAGUCCACAACCCGAACCAUGAAAGUACCAGCUUCCGUUAGACGGCAAAAGGUCAUCGUCCUCAUCGACAGUGGAUCUACCCAUAAUUUUAUCAGUGAUCGAAUAGCGGGUCGCUUGCAGGUUCCUGUAAUUCCGAUGCCUGCAUUUUCGAUCAAGGUGGCCAACAGGGAUCCGAUGAAAUGCUCCGACCGCUUCGAGCACGUGUCGAUCUCCCUUCAAGGUAUCCCCUUCUCCCUAACUUUUUACUCAUUACCACUGAUCGGGUUUGAUGUUGUUUAGGAGUUCAGUGGCUUGAAUCAUUGGGACUGUUGCCUGUGAUUGGAGGAAAAUAACGAUGAAAUUUCUCUAGAUGAACCAACCGCGGCGAUUGUGCAGCCUGGGUGCCUCGCCACUCUUGGUGGCUUCCCCGGAGGAAAUCAGCAAGUCUGUGGCCAAGCAACACUCUGCAUAUGCCAUCUGUUUUAUGAAAAAACACCAGGUCCCCUCUCCAUUUGAGCAGCCCGAGUUACGACAGUUAAUUGACCAGUUUUCUGAUCUAUUUGAAUAACCCAAGUAGUUUCCUCCUCAAAGAGACAUUGAACGCCGAAUCCGAAUCUCCCUCAAAGAUGGCAUUGAACCAGUAAAUGUGCGUCCAUACCGCUAUACACAUUUUUAGAAAUCAGAAAUUGAAAGAUAAGUGUUUGACAUGCUCAAAGGUGGCCUCAUUCGGCCAAGUACAAGUCCAUUUUCAUCACCGGUGCUGUUAGUUCGUAAGAAGGAUGGGACUUGGCAAUUUUGUACUGAUUAUUGAUCACUCAACACGGUGACCAUCGAGGACCGUUUUCCUAUUCCGACAAUGGAAGAUAUGUUGGAUGAGCUGCAUGGGGCCGUAUAUUUCACCAAACUAGACCUCACUGCCGGAUAUCGUCAAGUCAGAGCCCACCAUACAGACAUAUCGAAGAGUGCGUAGUGCCAGCUGGUUUUCUUUGGUGAUAUUCUAGUGUAUAGUGCCAGCUGGGAAUUACAACUCGUCCAUGUCAAGACAGUUUUUGGGGUCCUCAAACAUCAUCAGUUUUUUGUGAAGCUCAAAAAGUGCACAUUCAGGUGUCAAAAGCUAGAAUACUUGGGUCAUAUCAUUACCUCAGAAGGUGUCAAGGUAGACCAACAAAAAAUUCAAGCUAUGUUGGAAUGGUCGAGACUUACUAUGAUCACAGAGCUCCGAGGUUUGUUAGGAUUCACUGGUAUGAUCGCAAGUUUGUACAAAACUAUGGAAUAGUGGCUCGUCCUCACACCAACUUACUAAAAAAAAUGACCUUCAAGUGGAGCACAAAGGUAGACAUCGUAUUUGGUUGAUUUGUCCUAUAUGUGAAAAUCUAAAUCAGGCAAAUCUUUACUCGGAGUAGAGCCUAAACCUACAAAAAUUGAAUACAAAAUGAAAGAAGCCAAUUCAGGAAUACGAAAACACAUCGCGAUUUGGAUUUUAUCUCAAUGAAAAAAGCAUCAAUGAGAAGUUAGUCCGAUAAUCUUAGUGAA